This 58-nucleotide transfer RNA is filed under the name Mastigeulota kiangsinensis. Its description in RNAcentral is "tRNA-Leu". The record is from RNAcentral. Lineage: Eukaryota; Metazoa; Mollusca; Gastropoda; Stylommatophora; Camaenidae.
AUAACUUGGCAGAUUAUAUGCAAUUGAUUUAGGUUCAAUAGAAAACUAAGGUUAGUUA